This 107-nucleotide small nucleolar RNA is filed under the name Olea europaea subsp. europaea. RNAcentral's name for it is "Plant small nucleolar RNA R71". It matches the Rfam family "Plant small nucleolar RNA R71". From Rfam's summary of the family: R71 is a member of the C/D box family of snoRNAs containing the C (UGAUGA) and D (CUGA) box motifs. The record is from Rfam by way of RNAcentral. Lineage: Eukaryota; Viridiplantae; Streptophyta; Magnoliopsida; Lamiales; Oleaceae.
AUCCCAUGAUUUGAACACUUCCUCAUCAACUCUUUAAAUCUGUUCCAUGCCUUGUGAUAGCUCUCAACAUCUCUUUGUUAAAAAGUUUAAAUUUCCAGUAUGAUUUU